RNAcentral lists this ribosomal RNA (253 nucleotides) under uncultured bacterium. Its description in RNAcentral is "partial 16S ribosomal RNA". It matches the Rfam family "Bacterial small subunit ribosomal RNA", at positions 524 to 776 of the family's 1533-position model. The record is from RNAcentral.
UACGUAGUAUGCAAGCGAUGUCCGGGUUUAUUGGGUUUAAAGGGUGCGUAGGCGGCCUAUUAAGUUAGUGGUGAAAACGUUCGGCUUAACCGGAUACCCGCCAUUGAUACUGAUAGACUUGAGUGCGACAGAGGGUGUUGGAAUGUGUGGUGUAGCGGUGAAAUGCUUAGAUAUCACGCAGAACACCAAUUGCGAAGGCAGAUGCCUAUGUCGUAACUGACGCUGAGGCACGAAAGCGUGGGGAGCAAACAGG